GAUGAACGCUGGCGGCGUGCCUAAUACAUGCGAGUCGAGCGAACAGAUGAGGAGCUUGCUCCUCUGACGUUAGCGGCGGACGGGUGAGUAACACGUGGAUAACCUACCUAUAAGACUGGGAUAACUUCGGGAAACCGGAGCUAAUACCGGAUAAUAUAUUGAACCGCAUGGUUCAAUAGUGAAAGACGGUUUUGCUGUCACUUAUAGAUGGAUCCGCGCCGCAUUAGCUAGUUGGUAAGGUAACGGCUUACCAAGGCAACGAUGCGUAGCCGACCUGAGAGGGUGAUCGGCCACACUGGAACUGAGACACGGUCCAGACUCCUACGGGAGGCAGCAGUAGGGAAUCUUCCGCAAUGGGCGAAAGCCUGACGGAGCAACGCCGCGUGAGUGAUGAAGGUCUUCGGAUCGUAAAACUCUGUUAUUAGGGAAGAACAAAUGUGUAAGUAACUAUGCACGUCUUGACGGUACCCAAUCAGAAAGCCACGGCUAACUACGUG
RNAcentral lists this ribosomal RNA (497 nucleotides) under uncultured bacterium. Its description in RNAcentral is "partial 16S ribosomal RNA". It matches the Rfam family "Bacterial small subunit ribosomal RNA", at positions 28 to 507 of the family's 1533-position model. The record is from RNAcentral.